GGGGUUAGAGCUCAGUGGUAGAGUACAUGCCUAGCAUGCACAAGGUCCUAGGUUCAAUCCCCGGUAUCGCCA
This 72-nucleotide transfer RNA is filed under the name Camelus bactrianus (Bactrian camel). It matches the Rfam family "tRNA". Rfam says of the family: Transfer RNA (tRNA) molecules are approximately 80 nucleotides in length. Their secondary structure includes four short double-helical elements and three loops (D, anti-codon, and T loops). RNAcentral also lists the same sequence under 2 other names. The record is from Rfam by way of RNAcentral. Lineage: Eukaryota; Metazoa; Chordata; Mammalia; Artiodactyla; Camelidae.